UGGGGAAUUUUGGACAAUGGGGGAAACCCUGAUCCAGCCAUCCCGCGUGUGCGAUGAAGGCCUUCGGGUUGUAAAGCACUUUUGGCAGGAAAGAAACGUCAUGGGUUAAUACCCCGUGAAACUGACGGUACCUGCAGAAUAAGCACCGGCUAACUACGUGCCAGCAGCCGCGGUAGUACGUAGGGUGCAAGCGUUAAUCGGAAUUACUGGGCGUAAAGCGUGCGCAGGCGGUUCGGAAAGAAAGAUGUGAAAUCCCAGAGCUCAACUUUGGAACUGCAUUUUUAACUACCGGGCUAGAGUGUGUCAGAGGGAGGUGGAAUUCCGCGUGUAGCAGUGAAAUGCGUAGAUAUGCGGAGGAACACCGAUGGCGAAGGCAGCCUCCUGGGAUAACACUGACGCUCAUGCACGAAAGCGUGGGGAGCAAACAGG
RNAcentral lists this ribosomal RNA (429 nucleotides) under Acidobacteriota bacterium. RNAcentral describes it as "Acidobacteria bacterium partial 16S ribosomal RNA". It matches the Rfam family "Bacterial small subunit ribosomal RNA", at positions 355 to 776 of the family's 1533-position model. The record is from RNAcentral. Lineage: Bacteria; Pseudomonadati; Acidobacteriota.